GGGAGCGUCGAUAAAUCCGUCGAAAUGCCGAACCGUGAGACUCUUAAUCAGCGGGUCCAAGGUUCGAGCCCUUGUGCGCCCACCA
This 85-nucleotide transfer RNA is filed under the name Methylosinus trichosporium OB3b. Its description in RNAcentral is "tRNA-Lys". RNAcentral also lists the same sequence under 1 other name. The record is from RNAcentral. Lineage: Bacteria; Pseudomonadati; Pseudomonadota; Alphaproteobacteria; Hyphomicrobiales; Methylocystaceae.